CUUCAUCUGCUCUGACAGCCUCCGCCUUGAACUCUGCUUCUUGAUCUCACAUGAAGAAGCCGGAGAAAUUCUGUCAGAAGAUAACCGCUCUCAGGAUGAGGGUAAAAAUGCAUGAUCUACUCCAGUGGGAACAGGGUCAAACCCAACGGUCUCAAGCAUGAAUGAAGUGGGAAAGGUCUCCAUCUUUAUCCCUCAACACUCAAGACAAUGUUUCUCAAUGUCAAGGUCUCCCAGCAUUUAACACUGGAUCCCAGAAGCAUGUAGUUCUUGCUGAUUACAUCACGUGUGGACCAGGUACCCUGGUCAUCAACUCUUCCUGUGGUAGCUGUCAGGAUCUUCCCUUUCCAACUGCAUAUCUGUAUGAAGCCAGACUUCAUAUAAUUCAACAGAACCAUGAUGUAGAACAAUACAGAUGAAAAUCACAUCUGGAAUCAAGAUGUCAGCCUCUAAAGACAGUUUAAAAAUAUAAUCCAGCAUUGAUUUCUCUUAUCUUUUUGCUUUGAAAACAACGUGUUUACUAGG
Molecule: long non-coding RNA, 522 nt
Filed under: Rattus norvegicus (Norway rat)
Lineage: Eukaryota; Metazoa; Chordata; Mammalia; Rodentia; Muridae
Description: long non-coding RNA NONRATT010831
Source: RNAcentral